RNAcentral lists this ribosomal RNA (253 nucleotides) under uncultured bacterium. RNAcentral describes it as "partial 16S ribosomal RNA". It matches the Rfam family "Bacterial small subunit ribosomal RNA", at positions 524 to 776 of the family's 1533-position model. The record is from RNAcentral.
UACGAAGGGGGCUAGCGUUGUUCGGAAUUACUGGGCGUAAAGCGCACGUAGGCGGAUAUUUAAGUCAGGGGUGAAAUCCCAGAGCUCAACUCUGGAACUGCCUUUGAUACUGGGUAUCUGGAGUAUGGAAGAGGUGAGUGGAAUUCCGAGUGUAGAGGUGAAAUUCGUAGAUAUUCGGAGGAACACCAGUGGCGAAGGCGGCUCACUGGUCCGGUACUGACGCUGAGGUGCGAAAGCGUGGGGAGCAAACAGG